This 404-nucleotide ribosomal RNA is filed under the name Fusobacteriota bacterium. Its description in RNAcentral is "Fusobacteria bacterium partial 16S ribosomal RNA". It matches the Rfam family "Bacterial small subunit ribosomal RNA", at positions 355 to 776 of the family's 1533-position model. The record is from RNAcentral. Lineage: Bacteria; Fusobacteriati; Fusobacteriota.
UGGGGAAUAUUGGACAAUGGAGGGAACUCUGAUGCAGCGACGCCGCGUGAGUGAUGAAGGAAUUCGUUUCGUAAAACUCUGUUCUAUGGGAAGAAAAGGACUGUACCAUAGGAGAAAGCUCCGGCUAAAUACGUGCCAGCAGCCGCGGUAAUACGUAUGGAGCGAGCGUUGUCCGGAAUUAUUGGGCGUAAAGGGUGCGCAGGCGGCUUUACAAGUUGGAUGUGAAAUAUUGUGGCUCAACCACAAACGUGCAUCCAAAACUGCAAAGCUUGAGUUAAGGAGAGGUAAGUGGAAUUCCUGGUGUAGCGGUGGAAUGCGUAGAUAUCAGGAGGAAUACCGGUGGCGAAGGCGACUUACUGGACUUAAACUGACGCUCAGGCACGAAAGCGUGGGGAGCAAACAGG